UGGGGAAUAUUGGACAAUGGGGGCAACCCUGAUCCAGCCAUGCCGCGUGUGUGAAGAAGGCCUUCGGGUUGUAAAGCACUUUAAGCGGGGAGGAAGGCUCUAUGGCUAAUAUCCAUGGGGAUUGACGUUACCCGCAGAAUAAGCACCGGCAAACUUCGUGCCAGCAGCCGCGGUAAUACGAAGGGUGCGAGCGUUAAUCGGAAUUACUGGGCGUAAAGCGCGCGUAGGUGGUUUGGUAAGCGAUAUGUGA
Molecule: ribosomal RNA, 250 nt
Filed under: uncultured bacterium
Lineage: Bacteria
Description: partial 16S ribosomal RNA
Rfam family: Bacterial small subunit ribosomal RNA
Source: RNAcentral